This 253-nucleotide ribosomal RNA is filed under the name uncultured bacterium. Its description in RNAcentral is "partial 16S ribosomal RNA". It matches the Rfam family "Bacterial small subunit ribosomal RNA", at positions 524 to 776 of the family's 1533-position model. The record is from RNAcentral.
GACAGAGGAGGCGAGCGUUAUCCGGAGUCAUUGGGCGUAAAGGGUACGUAGGCGGCUAGUCAAGUCUGAGGUUAAAGACCACAGCUUAACUGUGGGAAGGCCUUGGAAACUGACUGGCUAGAGUGGGGCAGGGGUUGCGGGAAUUCCCGGUGUAGCGGUGAAAUGCGUAGAUAUCGGGAAGAACACCUGAGGCGAAAGCGCGCAACUGGGCCCUCACUGACGCUGAGGUACGAAAGCUAGGGGAGCGAGUGGG